This 6904-nucleotide long non-coding RNA is filed under the name Gossypium barbadense (sea-island cotton). RNAcentral's name for it is "long non-coding RNA (GBAR_LNC020252)". Lineage: Eukaryota; Viridiplantae; Streptophyta; Magnoliopsida; Malvales; Malvaceae. The record is from RNAcentral.
UUGCCCUAUUGCUUGUCGGACCUGGUCGAAAGUUAUCCUAUCAAAGUACACUACAAGCUUUUUUUUUCCUUAUCGUUCAUGGACUGGUUGGUGGAAAACAUUCAAAACGUGCUAAAAUAGACUUUUUGGUAUCAUAAUACAGAGGCUCUGGAAAUCAAGAAAGUUAGUCGUGUUCAAUAAGGAGAAUGCCUGCUCUGAGGAAAUCAUUAAAAUCAGUUGGUGCUGAGCGAAAGGUAUUAAGCAUGCCUCUGUUAUUUUGGAGCGUGUUGGACUAAACUAAAUAUUGAUGGUGAAAAGAAAGGUGCGGCUGGUUGCACAUCUGUAGGGGGUUUAGCCGGGAUGAACAUGGUGAAUGGUUGUUGGGAUAUUGCAGAAGCAUAGGAGAAAGCAGUGGAGUUCAGGCUGAAUUACGGGCCAUUUAUGAUGAUCUUUCUCCUAUGGAACAAGGGUCUUCGACGAAUUGUAAUUGAAUGCGACAGCUCAGAGGCCUUGUAAGUCAUCAAGGAGUCGGAAUUGCAGAGAUCAAAUGUGGCGUUUGCUAGAAGAAUCAACGAGCCGCUGAAUCGAAGCUGGGAGGUGCGACCGUGCCAUGUGUAUCGUGAAGCAAAUGCUGCGGAGGAUUUAGCUGUUCCGACCAUUUUGCAGCAGGAUUUAGCUGGGACCGCCUCCUUAAGAUGUAAUUUCUUUGUUUAGCUCUCUUUUGUAACCAAAAAACUGAAUAUUCCUUUCAAGAAUCCAAUACCCAAUGUCUCUUCCGUGUGUUUUUGCUUCUGAAUGGUGGAGUUUCACUGCACUCAAAGUACAUAUCUCAGGUUAAAGGACAAAAACUAUUAUGAGUUUAAAGGAGAGAAUUUGCUUGACACGGAGCCAGAGGAAAGGUCUCUUGCUGGAUUUAUGAGUUUCUAGUCCCCUCUUGAGAUUCCGGGUGUGAACAAUAUCGACUUUUUGCACAUGGUGCGUAAUGCUCGAAGAAAAAAACUUGGUGAGCCGGAGCUCGGUCCACUUGAGGUAUAGAUCAUGAACUACCCUUUGGCCUUUGUACCUUUAUCUACUAUAAGAACUUGCUGUUGUCAACAUAUUCUUCUUGCUCUCCCUGUUGUAAUCAAUAUCGAUAUUUUUCUUAAAAGGUCAAACUCUGUCAUGGCUAGGCUACUUCUAUGUGGUUGUAUCUUGUAAUUUAGAAGCUCAUAGUUAAGGAACACACAAUAAUCAUGCUUGUUUGUUAUUGAUUACAGUGCUUACAUCAUUUUAUUCAUGCAGUUCUAUGCUUACAUAUAUCCUAAACUCGAUCUUGUGAACAUGAAGACUGACUUCCUCAACAGAAACGGCAAUAGUUAUGUGCAUUUCCUUUAUUUUGCUAAUAAAAAAAAACACAAAUAUCGAUUGUUUUAUUCUUAGAGUACAGCCACAUCUAUGAGCUCUUAAGUUGCUGGUUGUAGAGGGUGAGGAAACAUUGUAAAUCAGUAAAACAUAUGUUUUACUGCUUUGUUAUAAAACAUGAUCAUGCUGAUCUUCCAUGCAUGUUGAUUUCCUUUUCACCUUGAUUACAAAGCUCUUUUUCCCUGUAACAUGCAUGGUUGGUCCUUUUUUUCAUCCUUUAAAGUUUUAGAAAGAUGUCAACAUCUGCCUUAAGUCAGUAACAAACAUAAAAGUAGGCAGUAGAGAUCUAGUCUGAACUGUAAACCAUGUGGACGUUGGCCCACAUUCAUGAUUUGUUUUUUUUCCCGAGUAGUAAAACGAUGCCCUAAUGGAUGAGACUAUGUUAUCUUGAUUCUUACAUUAUUAUCUUGAUUCUUACAUUAUGUACCAUUAAUCUUUGUGGAUAGUUUGGAAAAAGUAUUGGAUGUAGUAAGACCUUGUUCUGCUUAGCUUAACAGAGUUCCUUGCUUUUUGUCUUAACCAGAUUUCUGCAAUGUCGUUUGGUCUUUUUCUAUUCACUGACCAUUUCUAGUUUUUUUUUUUUUAUAAACUAUCCUAUCAUAAGAAAUAUGUCUUCAUUCUUAUAAGAACAUGUUAUAAUUUGAUGUUUUCAGGAAGACAGGAGAUAGCUCGUUAGCUAAAGUUCUUGAGGAGAAAGGCUAUACCGCAAUUUCUGCUGCAUAGCAUACAGUACUCUCUGUCAAUAUUAUUUGUUUGAUUCUAGUCAAAACUCACUUUAGCUCGGUUCUUCAGCCUCUACUCCACAGUGUUUUACAUUGUUAAUUGGAAAGGACUUGAUGCUCAAAAAUCUCUGAAGUCAAUCGAUCAUGGUUCCACCAUUAAAGGAGCAUAAAGCCUUGGCCCUAAGGUGCUAGGCUGCUAGCAAUGGUGCCUAAAAGGUUAUUGUUUCUUAUUUAACCUCUUGCCUUGGCAUGUAAAUUUGAGUUCCCCCCCUUUUUUUCUCCCUCCCUUGUGAACGAGGAAGUGUCUCGAAAUUAACCGAUUGAUGUGCAAGUAUACACAACCGUUAAUAAGUAAUAAAGUAGUAAGUGAGAGUUGUCAUCUCCACUGGAAUUGUUUAUGCAAAUCAAGUAUUGCGAAAUUAAUUACUCAGCAAAUUGUUUGGUGAUGAAAAUAAAUUAAAAUGUGAUGAAUUUCUAAUUAUAUUAAACUAACCUAAUUAUAUUUAAAAUUAAAUUAAACAAAGAAAAAAAAGUGUGCAAGUUUUAAGAGUAAUCACAAUUGCAUGCAUUAGAAUAACUUUCUUUCCUAACUUAGAAAUAUUUAAAUAAUACUAAUAAUGUUACGGAAAAAUCCAUGACAACUCGCUUAUUUAUUAAUCCUGUUUUUAUGAGUGCUCGGCUCCUCUUGAAGCCGUAAGCACAACCUUUUAGUCUGCAUAUUUCUAUGUUCAUUCCUACUUCAAGGUUACCUUUCAAGUAUCGUCUAAGAAAUCAUACUUAUUAAAUUAUUAAUUCUAGCAUAUGUAUGUCAAACAACUUAGUAUUUUCAAUAAGCAAAAAACAAAUUAUGUGAGGUGACAUUAAAAUAUUUCUAUACUGAAAUAGUUUAACCAUAUUAAUCCUACAGUUAUGCAAGGUAAUAAAAUUCUUUCGAUAUUAUUACUAAUCUGACCUAAUUUCAUAAUAAAAAGAUCAAACAUGCACCAUUCAGAUAUUGUGUCAAUUAAUUAUAAUUUGGUUCUGAUUUAAUAAUUAAUUCAAUUGCAUCCCUACAUUUAUAAUGCACAAAUAACAUGUUCAUUAUUUUAUUUGGAUGAAUAAGCAAGCAAGGCACAUAACAUCAUUAACAAAAUUAAAUAAUCUAAGCUACGGAAUUUAAAUCAUUUGACAAAAUUAAGCAACCAUGAUUAUAUUAAAAGCAAAAAAACUCAGUUGCAAUCAUGUUUCUUGAAUUGAACAAAAAUAAAAGAAUAAAGGGUAAAGAAUGCAAAGUCGUUUUCGGUGGUUCUCCGAACCAUAGCUCACUUCGCUCCUCCUUUUUACUUUCCUUCUUGUUGUGACUAUCAAGCUUGAGUGCUCCUAAUAUGGUCGAAUGAGACUACUCUCAAAGCCUUGCAAAACUCUUUAAAUAAUACGAAAAUAUGGAGAGUGAAAGAAGAGAAAAAAGAGAGAAGAGAUGAUGAAUGAAGGAUGAGGGAUGAACGAAAUGAGUGAAUGGCUAGGGGUAUUUAUACUUGUGAGGAGCUGCUUGAGUUUACUAAAAGUAGCAUGUCAACCCUCCAUUUUUCUCUCAUGCAUGGCUGGCCCCUUGAGUGGAGGAAGGAAGGUUGAUGAUUUUGCUAAAUUUACCUAGUCAAGGUUUGAUUCAUUGGAAAGUGUAACACCCAAACUCGACUUAGACAUUAUGACCAAAUCUUGUGGGUUACAUCAUCUAUACGUUUUAAAAUUCAAGAUUAAUCCAUUUAAACCAUAAUACAUGUGUGUUUCUAGAAUCGUUCGUUUACUUUCACUUGAAUAGGUUUAAAACCACAUUUUUAGCUUAUUUAUUAUCCAAAAAACUCAUUUUUGAUUAUUUGGAUUUGCAGCGGAAAACUCCAGAGUUGGCAAUUUUUUAAAUAGUUAUUUUAGUAUGUGAAAAUGCAAAAUUUGUAGUUUAGAGAAAACAAAUUAUUAAAGUUUGAUGGCUAGUCCAAAACCAAAAAUAAUGUCCAAAAAUUAUCCAACAGUCGAAAAAGUUAAAAAAUAAUCAUGAAAUCAAUUUAAACCGUUAAAUGCAAGGAUGACCAAUCCGAGCCCCAAAUGUCGCCCGAUCCUAAGUCUGAGGGUUACCUAAAAAGAUUAAUAAAUUGAGUGAGCUAAAAAGCCCAGUGUGCGACUUGGCCCACAUACAUAACAAAUUACACAAUUUAAUCAAUGAUUUCAGCAGAACAAAACAUUUACAGAAGCUUGUCAUGCAUAUCGAUGUAAAAUCAACAAACAGAUCAAAUCUUACCUCCAUCCACUAUACACCAUUUCCAACCCUCCUAACACACCAAAUAGGGUAAAUGAUACUCAUCCAACCCCACACACCAAAUAGUGAUCAUAUGUCACUAUACAAAAAUAUGUAGUCAUGCUGCCAAAUGUUAUACAAAAGUCCACCAUAUUCAAAUAUUGCAGAUGUAACUGCCAGGUACAGAUAUUGCGAUUUUACCGCCAAAAAUGCAGAUCGUAGUCUGCUAGAACUUUCUCCAUCACAUUAUCAUAUUCCACCCCAAUGCAAAUGCAACGUCAUAAUACAUAUAUCGUCACAUUAAGAUUAAACAUGCACAUUUUAAGCAUUUCAGAUCAAAAACAUGCUAAUGGCACUUUCAAAUUCAUAGACCAGAUAUACAAUUUAUACGGCUAACAUGCUUUCAAAAAAAUAUGCACACACAGAAACAUCAGAUUUUAUUUUUCAGACUAAAUGCAUAUCAUUCAUUAGAGCUUACGAAAUCGUUGACCUUGAACACGCAAUCAAAAUACGACCCUAACUAAACUUACUCAAAACAGGCCCACACGCCCUACCUGGCAUAGCUCAUAUGGCCCGCACAGUCUGGCGCACGGCUGAGCACACACUCGUGUGGCGUUGACAGUUUCGAUUUUUGUAUAGUUUUUUGAGUUUACGAGUUAGGGUCACAGAACUGACUGUUUUUUUUUAAAUGCUCACCACAGCAACAAUCAAAUCUGGAAAAAACAUCCAUAAUUUGAAUAAUACUAACCACUUACAAAGAUUCGACCUAUGCUUCCUAAAAUAUUCGGCUAUUAACAGGAGGCAUUCUACCACACAACCCCAAAUUAACACUAACCAGCCCUCCAAAAUUGGGCGUCCGACACUUACCCUCAGAAAUAGAAAUACCCAACGCACUUAACUCACCUGAAGAAUGUACGCCUAACACUCCUCACCUACAAGAACCACACAGAAGAACUAUCAACAUCCACAACAAUAACACAUUCAGUGAAACUCGACAACAUCUCAUUUUUCAACGAACGAACCUUACUUACAAUAAUAAUAAAAGGAAAACACGAUUGAAAACUACAAUUCACUUACCACACGACCGACCAAUAACAAGUCCAGAAGAAAACUAGCACAGUAAGAAGGGGUCCAAAUGAAAAUAGGACAGCAGAUAGCAACAACAGCAGAGAAAGAAAGAAAAAAUAUGAUUGUUUAAAUAAGGAUGAAAAUUGAGAGAAGAAAAAAAGAAUAGCAUAAGGAAAUUGACAGAAAAUUUUCAGGAAAACAAAAAAGAUACAACGUAAAAUAGAAUAAGAGAAAAUGUGAAAGUGAGGAAACAAUAAGUUUCAAACUUGAGACCUAAGAGUAAGCUAAGACCUUACCACUAAACCAACAAACUCAUUCUUGAUAAUAAACUUACAAAAAUUAAAGAUAACCCUUACAAACCAAAUCAGAUAUAGUAUCAAAAUUAAUAAAGAAAUUUCUAAGGAAAUCAAACACAGGACCUCAAGCAAACAUCCAAAGCCCUUAACCACUGAAUUAUAUAUAUUUAUAUUUCAAAGUUUUUUUUUUUUUGCAAGUCUUUGCCGUUUGGACUUUUAACACGGUGUAGUUUUAGUAUUUUGUCCACAACUUAAGUUAUAUACCUCUAUUUUGAUAUUCAAAGUGAAUUGAAAGACCUAACUAAAGUUAUUUUACGACUCAAGCCCAAAAAUGGCCUAAAAUUUUGAUGCAAAAAUUACCAAAAAAUCUAGAAAAAAAAUCUACUUUAUUUAAUGGGAUUUCUGUAUUUUCUCUAUUAUAUUAUUUUUUCCCUAUAAAUACACAUUAUUAGGGGGGAUGGGGAUGACUAUUCUUAGUUUUAUUUUGGUUUUGUGUUUUAUUUUCUUUAUGGGUUCCUAAACCCUCUUUUCUAGUUGAAAUAAUAUUCGAAGUUUGGUUCUAUAAGUUUGUGAGAUCGAAUUGCUUCUAAUCUUGAUUUUCUCUUUAAUAUUUGCAUGUCUCCUCGUUUAAUUACAUUUGUUCAAUUUUGUUAAAUAAUUGGUUGGUAUUUGGUAGCUUAGAAUAAUUGCUUUGUCGAUUAGAUAAUUAGUCGAUCAAUUGAUUUCUAAUAUUUGUGACGAUUGCAUGAUUAUUUUUGUAGUAUGGGGAUGCAGUCAAACUUAAAUAAACUUUGAUUGUGUGUUUGUUGGUUAAAAUUGGGUCUCUUUCGUUAUUAAGGCUAUUGAUAAAUUAAAUUAUUAAGCUAUUGAUCUGUCGUAAUUUGAUAUGUCAAAUUAGCCUCUUUCGUAUGCUUAAGGAGCUUGUUCUCAAGUAGUUUAAUAUCCUUUUAAUACUUUUUAUCAAUUAUUAGUUGUUAGUUUCAAUGCUAGCUUUUAUCACUAUUGAGAUCUAAAUUGGAAAAAUUAUGACAUUGGGAGUCUAAUAUUUGAUUUAAGCUUGUUUAGGGAGAUGAUUAAGGCCAAAUGUCAAUGAGACAUUCAAUUAACGUGUGUGUCAUGACAUUAAUGCUUGUGUGUCGUGACACUGACUCCCCAUCACCUUGAGGAAG